AGCAGCCGCGGUAAUUCCAGCUCCAAUAGCGUAUAUUAAAGUUGUUGCAGUUAAAAAGCUCGUAGUUGAAUUUCGGGAUCAAUAUAUCGGUCGUGCCUUUGGUACGUACUGGUAUCAUUGAUUUCUCCUUUCUGACGAAUCAUGAUGUCAUUAAUUUGGUGUUAUGAGGAGUUAGGACUGUUACUUUGAAAAAAUUAGAGUGUUUAAAGCAGGCAUUAGCUUGAAUACAUUAGCAUGGAAUAAUGAAAUAGGACGUUUGACCCUAUUUUGUUGGUUUUUAGGAUCGACGUAAUGAUUAAUAGGGAUAGUUGGGGGCAUUAGUAUUCAAUUGUCAGAGGUGACAUUCUUGGAUUUAUUGAAGACUAACUACUGCGAAAGCAUUUGCCAAGGAUGUUUUCAUUAAUCAAGAACGAAAGUUAGGGGAUCGAAGACGAUCAGAUACCGUCGUAGUCUUAACCAUAAACUAUGCCGACUAGGGAUCGGAUGAUGUUAAUUUUAUAAUGACUCAUUCGGCGCCUUA
Molecule: ribosomal RNA, 520 nt
Filed under: uncultured Glomus
Lineage: Eukaryota; Fungi; Glomeromycota; Glomeromycetes; Glomerales; Glomeraceae
Description: SSU rRNA
Rfam family: Eukaryotic small subunit ribosomal RNA
Source: RNAcentral